GCAAGUCGAGCGGAACGAUGCCUAGCUUGCUAGGAGGCGUCGAGCGGCGGACGGGUGAGUAAUGCAUAGGAAUCUGCCCGGUAGUGGGGGAUAACCUGGGGAAACCCAGGCUAAUACCGCAUACGCCCUACGGGGGAAAGCAGGGGAUCUUCGGACCUUGCGCUAUCGGAUGAGCCUAUGUCGGAUUAGCUAGUUGGUGAGGUAACGGCUCACCAAGGCUGCGAUCCGUAGCUGGUCUGAGAGGAUGAUCAGCCACAUCGGGACUGAGACACGGCCCGAACUCCUACGGGAGGCAGCAGUGGGGAAUAUUGGACAAUGGGCGAAAGCCUGAUCCAGCCAUGCCGCGUGUGUGAAGAAGGCCUUCGGGUUGUAAAGCACUUUCAGUGAGGAAGAAAGCCUUGAGGUUAAUACCCUCGAGGGAGGACAUCACUCACAGAAGAAGCACCGGCUAACUCCGUGCCAGCAGCCGCGGUAAUACGGAGGGUGCGAGCGUUAAUCGGAAUUACUGGGCGUAAAGCGCGCGUAGGCGGCUUGAUAAGCCGGUUGUGAAAGCCCCGGGCUCAACCUGGGAACGGCAUCCGGAACUGUCAGGCUAGAGUGCAGGAGAGGAAGGUAGAAUUCCCGGUGUAGCGGUGAAAUGCGUACAGAUCGGGAGGAAUACCAGUGGCGAAGGCGGCCUUCUGGACUGACACUGACGCUCAGGUGCGAAAGCGUGGGUAGCAAACAGGAUUACAUACCCUGGUAGUCCACGCCGUAAACGAUGUCGACUAGCCGUUGGGCUCCUUGAGAGCUUUGUGGCG
Molecule: ribosomal RNA, 800 nt
Filed under: uncultured bacterium
Lineage: Bacteria
Description: bacterial SSU rRNA
Rfam family: Bacterial small subunit ribosomal RNA
Source: RNAcentral